RNAcentral lists this small nuclear RNA (195 nucleotides) under Phaseolus vulgaris (common bean). RNAcentral describes it as "snRNA U2". It matches the Rfam family "U2 spliceosomal RNA". From Rfam's summary of the family: U2 is a small nuclear RNA (snRNA) component of the spliceosome (involved in pre-mRNA splicing). Complementary binding between U2 snRNA (in an area lying towards the 5' end but 3' to hairpin I) and the branchpoint sequence (BPS) of the intron results the bulging out of an unpaired adenosine, on the BPS, which initiates a nucleophilic attack at the intronic 5' splice site, thus starting the first of two transesterification reactions that mediate splicing. Lineage: Eukaryota; Viridiplantae; Streptophyta; Magnoliopsida; Fabales; Fabaceae. The record is from Rfam by way of RNAcentral.
AUACCUUUCUUUGCCUUUUGGCUAAGAUCAAGUGUAGUAUCAUUGAUUCAAACGAUAUUAAAUUUAGUUUUUUGAGGGAGAGUGUUCACCUAUAAUUUAUUUUUUUAGGGAGAGUGUCCACCUACAAUAGCUUGCUAUAGGGACUCUUAGGCAUUUCUCCUGUCUUGCACUAAUGCAAGAGCUGGUGCAUCCCAC